GCAACCCCAGGUCUAGCGGGAUUACCCGCUGAGUUUAAGCAUAUCAAUAAGCGGAAGAAAAGAAACUUACAAGGAUUGCCUUAGUAACAGCGAGCAAACCGGGAAAUGCCCAGCUUGAGAUCAGGUGCCUACGACAUCUGAAUUGUAGUCUGGAGAAGCAUCCUCUACGGCGAACCGAGCUCAAGUCCCCUAGAAAGGGGUGCCGGAGAGGGUGAGAGCCCCGUCACGCUAGGACCCUUUUGCACCACGAGGUGCUGUCUACGAGUCGGGUUGUUUGGGAAGGAAGCCCAAAUCGGGCAGAAAAUUCCGUCAAAGGCUAAAUAUUGGCGAGAGACCAAUAGCAAACAAGUACCGCAAGGGAAAGAUGAAAAGGACUUUGAGAAAAGACUCAAAGAGUACUUGAAUUUGUUGGGGUGGAAGGAGAUGGGGGCCGGCAGUGCGUCCCGGUCGGAUGUGGAAUGACGAUGUGCCGGUCUGCCAAUUGACUCGGGGCAUCGACUGACGUGGAUUGGGGCGGUGCAUCCUAGGCCUUUGUUGUGCUCGCGGAGACGUCGUCACCCCGAUCGUGGCUGGCAGCUCAUGCCCUUGGCGUGCUCAGGCAUCGGCGCGUUCUAGGCGUCAGCUUGCGGGCUCCCCAUUCAGCCUGUCUUGAAACACAGACCAAGGAGUCUGACAUGUGUGCGAGUCAACGGGCUAGAAAACCCGUGAGGCGCAAGGAAGCUAAGUGGCGGGAUCCGCUUGAGGGUUGCACAGCCGACCGACCUUGAUCUUCUGAGAAGGGUUCCAGUGUGAGCAUUCCUGUCGGGACCCGAAAGAUGGUGAACUAUGCCUGAGUGGGGCAAAGCCAUAGGAAACUCUGGUGGAGGCACACAGCGAUACUAACGGGCAAAUCGUUCAUCUGACUUGGGUAUAGGGGUGAAAGACUAAUCGAACCAUCUAGUAGCUGGUUCCCUCCAAAGUUUCCCUCAGGAUAGCUUGAGCCCAUGGGUGAGUUCUAUCGGGUAAAGCCAAUGAUUAGAGGCAUUGCAACGCCCUUGACCUAUUCCCGAACUUUAAAUAGGUAGGACGGCGCGUCUGCUUUGUUGAGCCAUGCCACGGAAUCGAGAGCUCCAAGUGGGCCAUUUUUGGUAAGCAGAACUGGCAAUGCGGGAUGAACUGAGAGCCGGUUUACGGUGCCCAACUGCGCGCUAACCUAGAACCCACAAAGGGUGUUGGUAGAUUAAGACAGCAGGACGGGUGUCAUGAAGUCAAAAUCCGCUAAGGAGUGUGUAACAACUCACCAGCCAAAUAAACUAGCCCCAAAAAUGGAUGGCACUGAAGCGCGUGACCUAUACGAGGCCUUGAUGAGUAAGAGGGCACAAUGGUUGCUGAAAAAGAUGGGGCGGAAGCCCGGACGGAGCGGCCGUCGGUGUAGAUGUUGGUGGUAGUAGCAAAUAUUCAAAUGAGAACUUUGAAGGCCAAAGAGGAGAAAGGUUCCAUGUAAAUAGCACUUGCAUAUGGAUUAGUCAAUCCUAAGAGACAUGGAAAGGGAAUCGGGUUAAAAUUCCUGAACCGGGACAUGGCGGCUGACGGCAAUGUUAGGGAGUCUGGAGACGUCAUCGUGGACCUCGGGAAGAGUUGUCUUUUCUGUUUAACAGCGUCCCCACCCUUGAAACGGCUCAGCUGGAGGUAGGGUCCAGCGGCUAGAAAAGAACCGAACGUCGCGUGGUGUCCAGUACGUCCUCGACGGCCCUUAAAAAUUCAGAGGACCGAGUGCCUCCCAUGCCCGGUCGUACUCAUAAUCGCAUCAGGUCCCCAAGGUGAACAGCCUCUGGUCAAUGGAACAAUGUAGGCAAGGGAAGUUGGCAAAAUGGAUCUGUAACCUCGGGAAAAGGAUUGGCUCUGAGGGCUGGGCACGGGGGUCCCAGUCCCAAGUCCGUCGGCUUUCGAUGGACUGCUCGAGCUGCUCUCGCGGCGAGAGCGGGUCGUCGCUUGCCGGCCGGGGAACGGACUGGGAACGUCUCCUUCUCCGGGCAUUAAAUAGUCGACUCAGAAUUUGUACUGACAAAAGGAAUCCGACUGCUUAAUUAAAACAAAGCAUUGCGAUGGUCCUUGAGGAUGCUCACGCAAUGUGAUUUCUGCCCAGUGCUCUGAAUGUCAAAGUGAAGAAAGUCAACCAAGCGCGGGUAAACGGCGAAAGUAACUAUGACUCUCUUAAGGUAGCCAAAUGUCUCGUCAUCUAAUUAGUGACGCGCAUGAAUAGAUUAACGAGAUUUCUAUUGUCCCUGUCUACUAUCCAGCAAAACCACAACCAAGGGAACGGGCUUGGCAGAAUCAGCGGGGAAAGAAGACCCUGUUGAGCUUGACUCUAGUCCGACUCUGUGAAAUGACUUGAGAGGUGUAGGAUAAGUGGGAGCCAGAAACGGCGAAAGUGAAAUACAACUACUUUUAACGUUUGUUUUACUUAUUCCGUGAAAUGGAAGUGGGGCAACGCCCCUCUUUUUGGACCCAAGGCCCGACUCGGCGGGUCGAUCUGGGCAGAAGACAUUGUCAGGUGGGGAGUUUGGCUGCGGCGGCACAUCUAUUAAAAGAUAACGCAGGUGUCCUAAGAUGAGCUCAACGAGAACAUAAAUCUUGUGUGGAACAAAAGGGUAAAAGCUCGUUGGAUUCUAAUUUCCAGUACGAAUACAAACUGUGAAAGCGUGGCCUAUUGAUCCUUUAGACCUUCAGAAUUUGAAGCUAGAGGUGUCAGAAAAAGUUACCACAGGGAUAACUUGCUUGUGGCAGCCAAGCGUUCAUAGCGACGUUUCUUUUUGAUCCUUCGAUGUCGGCUCUUCCUAUCAUUGUGAAGUAGAAUUUACCAAGUGUUGGAUUUUUCACCCACCAAUAGGGAACGUGUGCUGGGUUUAGAAUGUCGUGAGACAAGUUAGUUUUACCCUACUGAUGACUGCGUCGCAAUAGUAAUUCAACCUAGUACGAGAGGAACUGUUGAUUCGCACAAUUGAUCAUCACGUCGAGGUAUUGUAAGUGGCAGAGUGGCCUUGCUGCCACGAUCCACUGAGAUUAAGUCUCACGUCGUAUCGAUUCGUCCCUUCCCUCCCAAGUACCUCCACGAGGCUCAUUCUAUUUUUUUCGAAAAAUGACCAAGUCUCGAACGAGUAAUCUUUUGGAAGGUAUGGCCAAGGGUCAUUGUGCCGAGC
RNAcentral lists this ribosomal RNA (3179 nucleotides) under Begonia fuchsioides. RNAcentral describes it as "eukaryotic LSU rRNA". It matches the Rfam family "Eukaryotic large subunit ribosomal RNA". The record is from RNAcentral. Lineage: Eukaryota; Viridiplantae; Streptophyta; Magnoliopsida; Cucurbitales; Begoniaceae.